AAACCGGCCCUUUUUAGGGCCACUACAUGUUGAUCUCAGUAUUGUCU
Trichobilharzia regenti is the source of this 47-nucleotide non-coding RNA. The record is from Rfam. NCBI's taxonomy places the organism in Eukaryota, Metazoa, Platyhelminthes, Trematoda, Strigeidida, Schistosomatidae.